Molecule: ribosomal RNA, 251 nt
Filed under: uncultured bacterium
Lineage: Bacteria
Description: partial 16S ribosomal RNA
Rfam family: Bacterial small subunit ribosomal RNA
Source: RNAcentral
UACGGAGGGGGCGAGCGUUAUUCGGAAUUAUUGGGCGUAAAGGGCGCGUAGGCGGCUGAACAAGUCAAAGGUGAAAUCCCUCGGCUCAACUGAGGAACUGCCUUUGAAACUGUUCGGCUUGAGGCCGGGAGGGGGUAGCGGAAUUCCCAGUGUAGCGGUGAAAUGCGUAGAUAUUGGGAGGAACACCAGUGGCGAAGGCGGCUACCUGGACCGGUUCUGCACGCUGAGGCGCGAAAGCGUGGGAGCAACAG